This 30-nucleotide non-coding RNA is filed under the name Rattus norvegicus (Norway rat). Lineage: Eukaryota; Metazoa; Chordata; Mammalia; Rodentia; Muridae. The record is from RNAcentral.
UGCAUAGUGCAGCUGCAGGCUUGCAUGAGU